CAGGCAGCUUAAGCUGGGACUGACUUGAUCAGAAAAUUCAAAAUGCCAAGUCAUUGCCACUGAGGCAGUCUCCAUUACAGUAUGAGGAGCUAUGGCAGCCUGGUAAAUAUGAUUUACCAAAUUCGCACGUUAAAAUGUACACGACCUGAUUCCACCCUUCUACAGUCCCACCCCUUUCUGCUGUUAUUAUUCCUCAACUCUCCACGACCGAGAAUCAGCCCCGUAUUUGGCAACCAGGGGUGUGGCAAUGAGCUGAAGACACCAGCCAGCGGACCGAUGUGGAACCCUGCAGCGCUCCCAGGGGUACGACCCCAGGAAAGCCAAUGUGAAAGACACAGGAGGCUGUUUGAGGGCAGGUCUCAGUGGGGGACUCAGAUCAAAACCCUUUUGGUUCAGGAAGCCCAAACACCAAGAUAUUUUCAC
Fukomys damarensis (Damara mole-rat) is the source of this 423-nucleotide long non-coding RNA. Lineage: Eukaryota; Metazoa; Chordata; Mammalia; Rodentia; Bathyergidae. The record is from Ensembl.